UACGUAGGGGGCAAGCGUUGUCCGGAUUUAUUGGGCGUAAAGAGCGUGUAGGCGGCCAGGUAGGUCUGCUGUGAAAACUCGAGGCUCAACCUCGAGACGUCGGUUGAAACCGUAAGGCUAGAGUCCGGAAGAGGAGAGUGGAAUUCCCGGUGUAGCGGUGAAAUGCGCAGAUAUCGGGAAGAACACCCGUGGCGAAGGCGGCUCUCUGGGACGGUACUGACGCUGAGACGCGAAAGCCAGGGGAGCAAACGGG
This 253-nucleotide ribosomal RNA is filed under the name uncultured bacterium. RNAcentral describes it as "partial 16S ribosomal RNA". It matches the Rfam family "Bacterial small subunit ribosomal RNA", at positions 524 to 776 of the family's 1533-position model. The record is from RNAcentral.